UUUAGUAGUCAAGUGGAUUAACUUCACUCACACGUAAUUUUUAUAAACCCUAAGUUCAUUCAUAAACCCUAAGUUCAUCCAUAAAUCCUAAGUUCAUCCAAAAACCCUAAGUUCAUCCAAAAACCCUAAGUUCAUCCAAAAACCCUAAGUUCAUCUAUAAACCCUAAGUUCAUCCAUAAAUCCUAAGUUCAUUCAUCCUAAAUUUCCCUUCAUCAAUCAUCCAUCCCUUAAAUCUCAUUCAUCCUAUAACAUUCAUUCAUUCAAAGUUUGUUCAUCCAAUUUUCAUCUAAAGAUUCAUUCAUCCAACCAUAAGUCAACUUAUCAUCCAACUGACAAUUCGUGCAAUUGACCUAAUUCAUCCAAGAUUCAUUCUAAAAAUUAAAGAAAAUUGGAAGUCGCCACCUUCCAAGUCAUGGUAGCGACCCCCUUGCACGAAUUCCACUACAAUGGUUGCAUCACUAACUUGUUUAUAACAAGCUUUGCUAUUUUAGAAAGUAGACUUACAAGCGCUUGUCUUCCAACAAAAUUCAAUGCAAAACAACAAUUAAGCUAAGAGAAAUCUUGCCUCAAAGUUGCCUGACUUUCUCGGCCUAGUCAGAGCACCCCUGGCCACAAAAACCCUUGCCCUUGCUCCAUUCCAGUUGUGCAACGCAUAUGCUUUAGCAUUCCAGAAACUAGAAUUGAAGCCGCAUCACCUCCAACAAUUUUUUCUUGAAAAUCUUGAGUGAAUUUCAAGAUAUGACCUUCCAAAGUAGCUUGAGUUGGCGGAGUGCUACAUCUUCACCACGGCCGACUCCUCUUCACUCCAACCACCAUAACUUCCUUGGCCUUUACUCAAUCUAAGCGUGCAAAUAGUCCUUGCAAAGCUGACAACAAGAACCAUCUCCCACAAAAGUUUCAGCUCCAAAUUCAAUACUGUCCGCCAACACUCGCCUUCCAAAGUCGGACCUCCAGAUCUGGCCGGCAGCUGACCUCCUUGUCACUAAAACCACCACAACUUUCUUC
Molecule: long non-coding RNA, 1005 nt
Filed under: Physcomitrium patens
Lineage: Eukaryota; Viridiplantae; Streptophyta; Bryopsida; Funariales; Funariaceae
Description: long non-coding RNA (PPAT_LNC010742)
Source: RNAcentral